Molecule: long non-coding RNA, 1812 nt
Filed under: Lotus japonicus
Lineage: Eukaryota; Viridiplantae; Streptophyta; Magnoliopsida; Fabales; Fabaceae
Description: long non-coding RNA (LJAP_LNC000740)
Source: RNAcentral
UUGAUUGUUUCAAUAUCACGCGCCGUAUAUACUCUUGUCUUUCGGGGUCUAGCUCCAACAAUGCAUCCUCUGCUUUUCCACAUUCAGCAUAAUAUUUCUCAAAAUCAAAAAGACCAGUAUCAGGGUUCAUUUCAAGGUGAAUGUCGUCGUCCUUACGCGGAUGGGUUCGAUCCCACAAUGCUUUCUCUUGUGCUCUCCUUUCUUUUUCAUCCCAUUUAGCAUAAUAUUUGUCAUAAUCAAAAAGACCAGUAUCAGGGUCAACUUCAAGCUCAAUGUCGUCCUUAUGCCUGGUUUUACUUUUACUUGAUUCUCUGGCAACUUGAGGGGCUUUCCUGAUCAGAUCUAAAAUGACAUUCCAAUCAAUAGUAUUCCCUUUCUCCUUCUCUGUGCUGCGGGAAGAACCACCUUGGGCAGGAGCAUCCGCUUUCUCCUUGUCUGUACUGGCAGGAUCAUCAUCAGUACUAUCUACCCUCUUCUCUGAGGUGAGCUUGCCAGAAGAGUCUCUGCCACCUUUUCUUGAAAGGUGCCUCACACUCAAGAAAUUUGUGACUUGACUCCUCCUCCAAUGUCUUGUCAACAAAAGUGCCAUCUGUAACACCCCGAUUUCGGUGGCGUCACUUUAGUAACUCAAAAUAAAAUAAAGCGGAAAAAGCAGGUAUUUUUUUUUGUUUUGUUUAAAUAAAAAGACUUGUCGAAAUAAAGACUCAACCCAAUCGCGAUUAACAGUGAUUAAUAUACAAUACAAGCACAGCCCUCGCUGCAACUAAACAUCGUCACGAGUGACCUCCAGAGACGGAAAGGUAGUGCCCGUGGGCAAAUAUGUACAAACUAAAACAAAGGUUAAGUAUUCUGAGUACAGUCCUCCAACGAAAGUAAGUCGGCCCAAAACGGCCUCAAAAGACUUCCUACGUCCGACAAACUCCCUGUGAUCCUCAUGGAAGGGAAUCACAUGAAAAGCUAAUAGUCGGGGACCUGCCCUGCCCCAAAAUAAGGAAUGACAAUCAGAGCUAUGACUCUAACAACCAUCUCAUAAAAUAAAACAAAUCAUUUCUGGAGAGAGAUUUGUGUUGGAGAAGCCACAGAAUUCAGCAAAAUAAAUAAAUAAAAUAAUAAUUAUUACUUGUAACAACAACUCACUUCUUGAUUGUUUCAAUAUCACGCGCCGUAUAUACUCUUGUCUUUCGGGGUCUAGCUCCAACAAUGCAUCCUCUGCUUUUCCACAUUCAGCAUAAUAUUUCUCAAAAUCAAAAAGACCAGUAUCAGGGUUCAUUUCAAGGUGAAUGUCGUCGUCCUUACGCGGAUGGGUUCGAUCCCACAAUGCUUUCUCUUGUGCUCUCCUUUCUUUUUCAUCCCAUUUAGCAUAAUAUUUGUCAUAAUCAAAAAGACCAGUAUCAGGGUCAACUUCAAGCUCAAUGUCGUCCUUAUGCCUGGUUUUACUUUUACUUGAUUCUCUGGCAACUUGAGGGGCUUUCCUGAUCAGAUCUAAAAUGACAUUCCAAUCAAUAGUAUUCCCUUUCUCCUUCUCUGUGCUGCGGGAAGAACCACCUUGGGCAGGAGCAUCCGCUUUCUCCUUGUCUGUACUGGCAGGAUCAUCAUCAGUACUAUCUACCCUCUUCUCUGAGGUGAGCUUGCCAGAAGAGUCUCUGCCACCUUUUCUUGAAAGGUGCCUCACACUCAAGAAAUUUGUGACUUGACUCCUCCUCCAAUGUCUUGUCAACAAAAGUGCCAUCUGUAACACCCCGAUUUCGGUGGCGUCACUUUAGUAACUCAAAAUAAAAUAAAGCGGAAAAAGCAGGUAUUUUUUUUUGUUUU